This is a small nuclear RNA of Peromyscus maniculatus bairdii (prairie deer mouse), 127 nucleotides long. Lineage: Eukaryota; Metazoa; Chordata; Mammalia; Rodentia; Cricetidae. The record is from Ensembl.
GUGUUGUAUGAAAGGAGAGAAGGUUAGCACUCCCCUUGACAAGGAUGGGAAAGGCCCUUGGGCCUAACAACACAAUAUAUGGUUAAGGCAUUGCCACCUACUUUAUGGCAUCUAACCACUGUUUUUU